Molecule: ribosomal RNA, 253 nt
Filed under: uncultured bacterium
Lineage: Bacteria
Description: partial 16S ribosomal RNA
Rfam family: Bacterial small subunit ribosomal RNA
Source: RNAcentral
UACGAAGGGGGCUAGCGUUGCUCGGAAUUACUGGGCGUAAAGGGCUCGUAGGUGGCCAACUAAGUCGGACGUGAAAUCCCUCAGCUUAACUGGGGAACUGCGUCCGAUACUGGAUGGCUUGAGUUUGGGAGAGGGAUGCGGAAUUCCAGGUGUAGCGGUGAAAUGCGUAGAUAUCUGGAGGAACACCGGUGGCGAAGGCGGCAUCCUGGACCAACACUGACACUGAGGAGCGAAAGCCAGGGGAGCAAACGGG